CAGUAGCCACGGUAAUACGAAGGGUGCAAGCGUUACUCGGAAUUACUGGGCGUAAAGCGUGCGCAGGCGGUUAUAUAAGACAGAUGUGAAAUCCCCGGGCUCAACCUGGGAACUGCAUUUGUGACUGUAUAGCUAGAGUACGGCAGAGGGGGAUGGAAUUCCGCGUGUAGCAGUGAAAUGCGUAGAUAUGCGGAGGAACACCGAUGGCGAAGGCAAUCCCCUGGGCCUGUACUGACGCUCAUGCACGAAAGCGUGGGGAGCAAACAGGAUUAGAUACCCGCGUAGUCCCUGUCUCUUAUAA
This 301-nucleotide ribosomal RNA is filed under the name uncultured bacterium. Its description in RNAcentral is "partial 16S ribosomal RNA". It matches the Rfam family "Bacterial small subunit ribosomal RNA", at positions 509 to 809 of the family's 1533-position model. The record is from RNAcentral.